GUGGGGAAUAUUGGGCAAUGGGCGAAAGCCUGACCCAGCAACGCCGCGUGAAGGAAGAAGGUUUUCGGAUCGUAAACUUCUAUCCUUGGUGAAGAUAAUGACGGUAGCCAAGAAGGAAGCCCCGGCUAACUACGUGCCAGCAGCCGCGGUAAUACGUAGGGGGCAAGCGUUGUCCGGAAUGAUUGGGCGUAAAGGGCGCGUAGGCGGCCCGGUAAGUCGGAAGUGAAAGUACUGCUUUUAAGGUGGGAAUUGCUUUGGAUACUGUCGGGCUUGAGUGCAGGAGAGGUAAGCGGAAUUCCCGGUGUAGCGGUGAAAUGCGUAGAGAUCGGGAGGAACACCAGUGGCGAAGGCGGCUUACUGGACUGUAACUGACGCUGAGGCGCGAAAGUGUGGGGAGCAAACAGGAUUAGAAACCCGGGUAGUCC
RNAcentral lists this ribosomal RNA (425 nucleotides) under uncultured bacterium. RNAcentral describes it as "partial 16S ribosomal RNA". It matches the Rfam family "Bacterial small subunit ribosomal RNA", at positions 354 to 796 of the family's 1533-position model. The record is from RNAcentral.